RNAcentral lists this ribosomal RNA (501 nucleotides) under uncultured bacterium. RNAcentral's name for it is "bacterial SSU rRNA". It matches the Rfam family "Bacterial small subunit ribosomal RNA", at positions 29 to 520 of the family's 1533-position model. The record is from RNAcentral.
AUUGAACGCUGGCGGCAUGCGUAACACAUGCAAGUCGAACGGUGUUUGGUGCUUGCACCAGACAUAGUGGCGGACGGGUGAGUAAUGCGUAGGAAUCUGUCUUAGAGAGGGGGACAACCCGAGGAAACUUGGGCUAAAACCGCAUAUUCUCGAGAGAGGAAAGCAGGGGACCGGAAACGGCCUUGUGCUCUAAGGUGAGCCUACAUCGGAUUAGCUAGUUGGUAGGGUAAAAGCCUACCAAGGCGAUGAUCUGUAGCUGGUCUGAGAGGACGGACAGCCACACUGGGACUGAGACACGGCCCAGACUCCUACGGGAGGCAGCAGUGGGGAAUAUUGGACAAUGGGGGAACCCUGAUCCAGCGAUGCCGCGUGUGUGAAGAAGGCCUGCGGGUUGUAAAGCACUUUCAGUGGGAAAGAGAAGCGUCUUGUGAAUAAUGGGACCGUGGAGACGUUAACUCACAGAAGAAGCAACCGGGCUAAACUCUGUGCCAGCAGCCGCGG